Phascolarctos cinereus (koala) is the source of this 561-nucleotide non-coding RNA. NCBI's taxonomy places the organism in Eukaryota, Metazoa, Chordata, Mammalia, Diprotodontia, Phascolarctidae. The record is from RefSeq and is a predicted model, not a curated record.
CAUUGGGAGGGCGACCAAGAUGACAAAGGACCAGGAAUUCAUGCCACAGGGAGACUGAAUGAAGGAACGUGACAGGUCUGCCCUGGACAAGAGAAGGCUAUAGUGUGGAAGGCUGAUCUUUCUGUAGAGACUCCUUCUUUUACCCUGCACUGAAGAGUGCCAGGCAGAGACGAGAGGAUGGGAGGAUAGAUUUCGAUUUGCUGCUCCAAGGAGUCAAGAGACACAAGUACGAAGAAUGAAAUGAUUCCUACCCUCGAGGAGUUUACAUUCUUUUUUUUUGGUGGACUGAGACAGGAGGGCUCUGAGUUCAAAUCCAGAGCAGAUGCAAGUGACUUCGCCUCAGUUUCUUCAUUUCCUUUCAGCUGAGGGGGUUGUGCAGCUCAAAAGAGAUGAAUAGCUUUGCAAAUGUUCAGGCAUCUCCACCUCCCGCAUCCCCAUCACUUGUUUGUCCUGCCCCUCCUCCUUGGACAGACCAAUUGUGAGCAUGCAUCCGUAGGAUGGGCGGGGCCAAGAGCCAGCACCUCCUUCCGAGCUUAGAUGAGCGAACGACAGGAGUGGUUA